GGCGAACGGGUGAGUAACACGUGAGUAACCUGCCCCUGACUCUGGGAUAAGCGUUGGAAACGACGUCUAAUACUGGAUACGACUGCCGGCCGCAUGGUCUGGUGGUGGAAAGAUUUUUUGGUUGGGGAUGGACUCGCGGCCUAUCAGCUUGUUGGUGAGGUAAUGGCUCACCAAGGCGACGACGGGUAGCCGGCCUGAGAGGGUGACCGGCCACACUGGGACUGAGACACGGCCCAGACUCCUACGGGAGGCAGCAGUGGGGAAUAUUGCACAAUGGGCGAAAGCCUGAUGCAGCAACGCCGCGUGAGGGAUGACGGCCUUCGGGUUGUAAACCUCUUUUAGUAGGGAAGAAGCGAAAGUGACGGUACCUGCAGAAAAAGCACCGGCUAACUACGUGCCAGCAGCCGCGGUAAUACGUAGGGUGCAAGCGUUGUCCGGAAUUAUUGGGCGUAAAGAGCUCGUAGGCGGUUUGUCGCGUCUGCUGUGAAAUCCCGAGGCUCAACCUCGGGCUUGCAGUGGGUACGGGCAGACUAGAGUGCGGUAGGGGAGAUUGGAAUUCCUGGUGUAGCGGUGGAAUGCGCAGAUAUCAGGAGGAACACCGAUGGCGAAGGCAGAUCUC
Molecule: ribosomal RNA, 619 nt
Filed under: Curtobacterium sp. I12A-00124
Lineage: Bacteria; Bacillati; Actinomycetota; Actinomycetes; Micrococcales; Microbacteriaceae
Description: bacterial SSU rRNA
Rfam family: Bacterial small subunit ribosomal RNA
Source: RNAcentral